AACGAACGCUGGCGGCAGGCCUAACACAUGCAAGUCGAGCGAACCCUUCGGGGUUAGCGGCGGACGGGUUAGUAACGCGUGGGAAUAUACCCUUUGGUACGGAAUAGCCUCGGGAAACUGAGAGUAAUACCGUAUGUGCCCUUCGGGGGAAAGAUUUAUCGGCAAAGGAUCGGCCCGCGUUGGAUUAGGUAGUUGGUGGGGUAAUGGCCUACCAAGCCGACGAUCCAUAGCUGGUUUGAGAGGAUGAUCAGCCACACUGGGACUGAGACACGGCCCAGACUCCUACGGGAGGCAGCAGUGGGGAAUCUUAGACAAUGGGCGCAAGCCUGAUCUAGCCAUGCCGCGUGAGCGAUGAAGGCCUUAGGGUUGUAAAGCUCUUUCAGUGGGGAAGAUAAUGACUGUACCCACAGAAGAAGCCCGGCUAACUCCGUG
RNAcentral lists this ribosomal RNA (432 nucleotides) under uncultured bacterium. RNAcentral's name for it is "bacterial SSU rRNA". It matches the Rfam family "Bacterial small subunit ribosomal RNA", at positions 29 to 507 of the family's 1533-position model. The record is from RNAcentral.